Molecule: transfer RNA, 88 nt
Filed under: Syntrophobacter sp. DG_60
Lineage: Bacteria; Pseudomonadati; Thermodesulfobacteriota; Syntrophobacteria; Syntrophobacterales; Syntrophobacteraceae
Description: tRNA-Leu
Rfam family: tRNA
About the family: Transfer RNA (tRNA) molecules are approximately 80 nucleotides in length.
Source: RNAcentral
GCCGGAGUGGCGGAAUAGGAAGACGCGGGGGACUCAAAAUCCCCUGGGCCUUGAGUCCAUGUGGGUUCGACUCCCACCUCCGGCACCA